GACGAACGCUGGCGGCGUGCCUAAUACAUGCAAGUAGAACGCUGAAGAGAGGAGCUUGCUCUUCUUGGAUGAGUUGCGAACGGGUGAGUAACGCGUAGGUAACCUGCCUUGUAGCGGGGGAUAACUAUUGGAAACGAUAGCUAAUACCGCAUAACAAUGGAUGACACAUGUCAUUUAUUUGAAAGGGGCAAUUGCUCCACUACAAGAUGGACCUGCGUUGUAUUAGCUAGUAGGUGAGGUAAUGGCUCACCUAGGCGACGAUACAUAGCCGACCUGAGAGGGUGAUAGGCCACACUGGGACUGAGACACGGCCCAGACUCCUACGGGAGGCAGCAGUAGGGAAUCCUCGGCAAUGGGGGCAACCCUGACCGAGCAACGCCGCGUGAGUGAAGAAGGUUUUCGGAUCGUAAAGCUCUGUUGUAAGUCAAGAACGGGUGUGAGAGUGGAAAGUUCACACUGUGACGGUAGCUUACCAGAAAGGGACGGCUAACUACGUG
RNAcentral lists this ribosomal RNA (497 nucleotides) under uncultured bacterium. RNAcentral's name for it is "partial 16S ribosomal RNA". It matches the Rfam family "Bacterial small subunit ribosomal RNA", at positions 28 to 507 of the family's 1533-position model. The record is from RNAcentral.